Long non-coding RNA from Numida meleagris (helmeted guineafowl), 1552 nucleotides. Lineage: Eukaryota; Metazoa; Chordata; Aves; Galliformes; Numididae. The record is from Ensembl.
GCCCGGCGCUGCGCGGGGCCGCCCCGCCCGCGGCAUGGCCGGCGCGCUGGGCAGAGGGGCGGCGUGCUGGCGGAUGCGGAGCGGCAGGAAGGAGAAGGCGCCGGGCGGCAAGCCCCGGCCGCAGCACGAAAAUAUGAAGAAGCCCUGGAGCCCUGACUUACCAGCUUCUAAUCACUCGUACAAUUUGGCUUUCGCAUCCAUCCCAGACAGAGAUAGUGAGAAAGAAUUAACAACUGGUAGCAGUGAAGAAAAGAAGGAGAGAGAAAAGAAGCAGACCAAUUUCACUUUGUGCAAUGUUUGUAACAUUCAGCUGAACUCUGCUGCUCAGGCACAAAUCCACUACAACGGCAAAUCCCAUCAGAAGAGGUUAAAACAGCUCAGCAAUGGAAAUCUCAAAAGUGAUAAUGGAGAGAAAAUAAAGAAGGAAAGAAAUAAAGAAGGAAAUUCUUUGUUUGAAGCCUUAUUGGCUGUUUUCACUGUAGGACGCUCUCAGCAGGAGGCUGCCCACAGCUGAGCCCAGGAGCCCUGGCAUGCAGAGGAUAUUCCCAAUUGUGUCGUGGGAGCUGAUUUUAGAAAGCAGUCUCUCCUUUCUAAAUGACCGUUUUCCACAUCAAUUAGUCACGUGAAUAUUAUUAUUUAGAAUUUUUUUUAAAUUUCUUGCGGUGAAGUUGAGGAAAGAAUCUGUCUUGGGACCCACAUGCUUCAGUGGGAUGUUCAGAACAAAAUUCUGUACUUUUCACUGAUGCUUUGUUUGACUUGAAGAACAUUUUCACUGCUGAUGUCACUAGAGCGAUGGCAAGACAAAAACAAGGAGUAGCAGAAAUACCUACAUAUCUCUUUUUCUUCUUGUAAUGUUGUUGUUUCAUCUAUUCCUUCAGAACGUUUAGCCCGUAUAAAGUAACCGUAUAUUCAGAAUUGUUUUCCCACUGUGAUGCUCUGUCUUGUUAGAUGUUUUCUGCUUACAUGUGCUUAUUUUAUAAGCAAAGAAAGACAAAAUGGAAUCUAUCAUAAAUUACAACAGUUAUGAGUGAGACUAAAUUAAAUCAUUGUUGCAGUACUCACGAAAUCUUUCUCUAGGAAAGUAUGAACUAGGAACAGAAACGUUCAAUUUAAUAUGCCUCCUUUUUUAAAAUUGUUUUUAACCUUUUCUCCUUGCCCUCUACACAUAUUUUCCUCAUAAAAAAUGUAGAAAUAGAUACCAUACAUUAAAAAAAAACAAGUUAUUGAUAUGUACAUUGUUUGUAUUAUGUCAAGGGAGCACAUUUUUACUUGCUUUCUUCCCCUUAGGAUUGGGAUCCCCUGAAGUCUUGAUAUAGCUACUAACCUUCAAAGACAAAAGGUCAGAUAUUGACUAGUACACAUCAAUUACUUCCCUUGGAAUCAGAGGAAUUAAGAUAAUUUGCAAUCAUGCAGAAUAUGUCAUAAAAGAUAUGUUGCAUGCAUAUCUGUAAUGAAAGACCAUUACUAAUGUUGUAAAAACACUCAAAGACUAGGAGAUAACUUUAUUAAAUCAUUCUGAAGUUGCUGAAGCAGCAUUGAAUCCCUGCUUUAA